RNAcentral lists this ribosomal RNA (500 nucleotides) under uncultured bacterium. RNAcentral describes it as "bacterial SSU rRNA". It matches the Rfam family "Bacterial small subunit ribosomal RNA", at positions 899 to 1397 of the family's 1533-position model. The record is from RNAcentral.
ACUCAAAUGAAUUGACGGGGGCCCGCACAAGCGGUGGAGCAUGUGGUUUAAUUCGACGCAACGCGAAGAACCUUACCUGGGCUCGAACGGCUUUGGAUCGGAGGUGGAAACGCCUUUUUUCCCGCAAGGGACCGGAGUCGAGGUGCUGCAUGGCUGUCGUCAGCUCGUGUCGUGAGAUGUUGGGUUAAGUCCCGCAACGAGCGCAACCCUUGUCCUGUGUUGCAAACGCGCAAGCGUGCACUCGCAGGAGACCGCCAACGAUAAGUUGGAGGAAGGUGGGGAUGACGUCAAGUCAUCAUGGCCUUUAUGUCCAGGGCUACACACGUGCUACAAUGGACGGUACAAAGCGCGGCGAACUCGCGAGAGGGAGCUAAUCGCCAAAAACCGUUCUCAGUUCGGAUUGCAGGCUGCAACUCGCCUGCAUGAAGCUGGAAUCGCUAGUAAUGGCAUAUCAGAACGAUGCCGUGAAUACGUUCCCGGGCCUUGUACACACCGCCCGU